CUAGAACUACAGAAACGGCUCCCCCCCCCCCCAUCCCCCAUGUACUGUUCACCAUCCCCUUCGCCGAUUCAGUCCCAACUCGCCUGAAACUCAGGGGAGUUCACUCACACACGGGUCCCAUCCCUCCACGUCACUUUAAUCCAACGGAUUUCUGACAGAAAACAAGAAUAUUCCCUUUGAAUUUGCACGAUUUUUAUACUCUUGGGCGAUUUGCUGGAUGAAUGGGAACCGUGGAUGGAUGGAAAUCAAUCCAUGCCUUCCAUUUGUUCCUAAAAUCGUUCACAAAGGAUAGGAUUUCGGAUUCUAGGCAGAAGCUUCGAGAUCUUUUGAGGUUUAUAUAUAAGGUGAGUUCUUUUCUUGUUAAAAGAGGAAGAAAUUUUCAGAAAAUUAGAAGAGUAAAAUUCUAGGGUUCUUGGAGUUUUCCUUUUCUUCAGGCCUUUUCUUUUAAAUUUUAGUCUGCAUCUUUUCAGAAAAAAUGAAUAAAAAAAUAUUCAAAGUAUAGUCUGUGUUUUGAUUUUCGAUUCAAGUAUUAUUUCAUUUCGAAAGGAAUCAAAAAUUACAAAUCUCAGCAUUUCUCUUCGAUCUCUGGUUUUCAAGAAUGGUUUUGGAUUAAAGUUUAAGUUGGGGUUUGUGGCUGGGGUUCGGAAUUUUGGCGCUGUGGAUUUCUGUCCGAAAUUUUGGUUGCGAUUUGGAUUUGGUUGGCUGAUUUGCAGAGCUAUUGUUACUGUCGCUGAAUUUCUUCUCCUAUUCCAGAAUUUCAUUUGUUAUUUUCGUUGUUGUUCGGCUCUUAGGUGUGUACACAUCCAGCCGAAAAUUACUUUUCAAAUAUAAUCUGAGAAAUUGGAUAUUGAGUUCCAUAUUUGUGUUUGUUCAUUUAGACUCGGUAUGAUUCUGGUUGUUUAAAUGAUUUGGAUUCCUUUUUGUUUUGUGAUAUUGACUAUGUGUUUUUUAUAAUAAAAAAAAAAAAGAAGUAGUCGAAUAUUCAUUAAUAUCUGCUCGCACAUUUAUUUCAUGAUUGGAGAUUAUACCAUGUUUAAGUAAUAGUCUAUGUUUUGAGUCGAUUUUAAGAGUAGUAUGCUUUUCGAAUUCAACUGCUAUUUGGGCAUAUCAAUUUUUGAAAGAAUCUAGCUCUUUGUGCACUUGAAUGAGGGUAGUAAUUAUGAUGCUUAACUCUGCCGUUUUAUUUUAUUGAAGGCAGGAUGUUGGAAAUUGCGGAGUAUAAUGUAUUAUGUCGUUUUUUUUUAUCAAAUCAUCGAGGGCGUUUUCACAUUAUAAAAUCAAUGAGUUUUGAAGACUUGCAGUACCUCAAAGUAUUUGGUUAAUUAUUGCUGCCUCUAAUUAUUGGCUAGAGAACAUGGAAUCUGGGAAUUAUAGAAAAGAUAUUGUAACUUACAAUUUAUUUUGCAAGAUGUUAUUUUUCACUAACAAGUAGUAAUAAUCUUGGGAGGCAUACAGAACUUUAAUGAAUUGUUAACGAUGUUACCUGUCAUUAAUGUUGCUAUUGUAUGUGAUUUUCACUUGAAUCUUGCAUAAUCUGUAAAUAUGUAGGAGUUAAACUUUAAAAUGAUUUACACGAAGACCGUAACGACUAACAAUAUAAGUUUUAGGUUUGGACAAUAAUCUGUGUAUAUGAUCCAG
Molecule: long non-coding RNA, 1638 nt
Filed under: Nicotiana tabacum (common tobacco)
Lineage: Eukaryota; Viridiplantae; Streptophyta; Magnoliopsida; Solanales; Solanaceae
Description: long non-coding RNA (NTAB_LNC009636)
Source: RNAcentral